UACGUAGGGUGCAAGCGUUGUCCGGAAUUAUUGGGCGUAAAGAGCUCGUAGGCGGUCUGUCGCGUCGGCUGUGAAAACCCGGAGCUCAACUCCGGGCCUGCAGUCGAUACGGGCAGACUGGAGUUCGGCAGGGGAGACUGGAAUUCCUGGUGUAGCGGUGGAAUGCGCAGAUAUCAGGAGGAACACCGAUGGCGAAGGCAGAUCUCUGGGCCAUUACUGACGCUGAGGAGCGAAAGCAUGGGGAGCGAACAGG
RNAcentral lists this ribosomal RNA (253 nucleotides) under uncultured bacterium. RNAcentral's name for it is "partial 16S ribosomal RNA". It matches the Rfam family "Bacterial small subunit ribosomal RNA", at positions 524 to 776 of the family's 1533-position model. The record is from RNAcentral.